Molecule: non-coding RNA, 2325 nt
Organism: Pelobates cultripes (western spadefoot toad)
Lineage: Eukaryota; Metazoa; Chordata; Amphibia; Anura; Pelobatidae
Source: the annotation of a GenBank genome assembly
CCAAACAGUGAUCUUUAUUUAUUUAAUUGGUCAGUGGACUGUCCCUUUAAAGUGCAUGGUUCUUGUUCCCAGUACCUUCCUGCAUAUCUAAAACAGAACUAAUGGAGAUAACAAGCAAAUGGGAAAAAUGUUUCUGGGACCAAUAUUUGCUGGGUCAAUGCCCCGAAAGACUGGUGAGAGGGCUGUAGACCACUAUGAUAGACGUGAGAGGGCAGUAGUACACUAGGAUAGAGAUGAGAGGGCUGUAGGCGACAAUGAUAGAGGUGAUAGGGCUGUUGACCACCAUGAUGUUUCUAUGUUUCUAUGAUGCAGGUGAGAGGGCUGUGGACCACAAGAAUAGAAGUGAGAGGGCUGUGGACCACAAGAAUAGAGGUGAGAGGGCUGUGGACCACUAGGAUAGAGGUGAGAGGGCUGUAGACCACUAGGAUAGAGGUGAGAGGGCUGUAGACCACUAUGAUACAGGUGAGAGGGCUGCAGACCACUAGGAUAAAGGCAAGAGGACUGUUGACCACUAUAAAAGAGGUGAGAGGGCUGUUGACCACCAUGAUACAGGUGAUAGGGCUGCGGAUCACUAUGAUAGAGGUGAGGGCUGUAGACCACUAUGAUAGAUGUGAUGGAAGUUUAUUGUUCUCUCAAUGAAGUAGGGUGGCGCAGGACUGAGUGGAGAGAUCUAGUGAUCUGUCUUCAAGUUUAAAGAAGGCCCCUUCAGAGCCAGAGCUGGAGCUCGAGGGCAACACAUGGGCCCACCAGCCCCUAUCUUAGCCCAUACACUAGGCGGCUGCCUCUAGGUACUGAGGUGGUAUGUAAUUGUUUUUCAGGAAUGCUAUUUCAGAUUUUACUGGACUGGACGGAGCAGAAAAAGCAAGUAAAAAGACCACACACUUGCCUCCACUGAAAUUCUGCAAAAUCAUUGUCCCAUGAUACUUUGAGGUAAUGGUUUGGUUAGUAUGUAUGUGUCUAUGUAAGUGUGUAUCUACCUAUGUAUAUGCAGGCAUGCCCGUUACUAUGAAUGUACACAUAAAGUAUGCGUAUGAUGGUCGUGUGUAUCUACCUAUGUAUAUGCAGGCAUGCCUGUUACUAUGAAUGUACACAUAAAGUAUGCAUAUGAUGGAUGUGUGUAUAUGCUUGCAUGAGGGCAAAUGAAUGUAUGUAUAAGAGUCAGCACAUUUGUAUUUAUGAAAGAGAGUAUUCACAGAUGGAUUUAUGAGUGAAAGUGUGUGUAUAUCCUUGUUUUACCUGAUUAUUACAUUAUAACCUUUACUUCACAACCGCAGGGACAGUCCAUUGUCCUUUGCCAUCAAUAAAUUGAAGGCCACAAGAAUGCCAGCUAAACAGGGCUUAUCAUUUAUUCCCUAAAUAGAAAUAAUCAAAACAGCGACAAAACAAAAAGAACUAAUGCAGAGAAAAAGCAAAUGGGAAAAAAACGAAAACAAAUCAGGUGAAGGCCGAGGGGGAAUAGCUGUCCCUCUCAUGAAAUCCUAGAAUUGUGUCUACUUAAACUGUAUUUAGCAUUAUUUUGUACUUAUGAAAUAUUGUAUCAUGCAUGAUAUACUGGUUACUAUAAAGGCAUAAUAUAACGUGAUAAAGUUGACACAACAGAUUGUGUGAUACUAAAGCUGUUUGGUGCUGCUGUGCCAAACAAAUACUCAGGACUCUCUUGGACUGCAGAGGCAAUUUGUAUCUUGGUAAGACUAAGAAAAAGUUCUGUAAAGAACUUUUAAGCUAUAUUUCAUUAGCAUUACACUGAUCAGCCACAACAUUAAAACCAACUGCCCAAUAUCGGACAUCCGAGUGCUGCCAAAACACCUCUGAUGUGUUGAGGCAUGGACUCCACAAGACCACUGAAUGGUCCUUGUGGUAUCUGGUACCAAGACAUUAGCAACAGAUCCUUUAAAUCCUGCAAGAUGGAAGGUAGUUGUUCCAGCACAUCCCACAGAUGCCCAACCAAAUAUGACCAUACUGUUAUUCUUAAUAACACUUUUCUCAAUCCAAUUUUGUUCACAUCACUACCGCCAAAAGCACAUAUCUCAAACUGGAAGACAAAUUAUCAUACACCAUGGCCUGCUCUGUUGCUGUAACUUAUCUGGAUAUGGAUAACAAUAGGGAUACAGCUAGAUGCUAUAAAGUAAGAAAAAAACAGCACAUAGUGAUUUACAGCAUUUAACGCUGACACGUAAAAUCAUAAGUAGCACUCACAGAGUUGAAAUCAAAUGGAUGCCUUGAAAUCCAUAAAUGGAUUAUACUGGUCUGCCUUCCACCAUUCAGGCUAAUGCAGCAGGUCCAGGAAUAUCAGAUAGAAGAAUCAGGAUGCAAAAAUAAAAAAAU